CCUACGGGUGGCAGCAGUGGGGAAUAUUGCACAAUGGGGGAAACCCUGAUGCAGCGACGUCGCGUGAGUGAAGAAGUAUUUAGGUAUGUAAAGCUCUAUCAGCAGGGAAGAAAAUGACGGUACCUGACUAAGAAGCCCCGGCUCACUACGAGCCACCAGCCGCGGUGAUAUGUAGGGGGCAAGCGUGAUCCGGAUUUACCGGGUGUAAAGGGAGCGUAGGUGGGAUGGUAAGCGAGAAGUGAAAACCUAGGGCUCACCACUGUUGAUAGCUUUUGAAACUAUCAAGCUAGAGUGAUUGAGGAGUAAGCGGAAUGCGUGGUGUAGCGGUGAAAUGCAUAGAUAUUAGGCAGAACUCCGAUGGCGAAGGCAGCUUACUGGAGAGAAACUGACGCUCAGGCACGAAAGUGUGGGGAGCGAACAGGAUUAGAUACCCGGAUAGUC
RNAcentral lists this ribosomal RNA (441 nucleotides) under uncultured bacterium. RNAcentral's name for it is "partial 16S ribosomal RNA". It matches the Rfam family "Bacterial small subunit ribosomal RNA", at positions 338 to 795 of the family's 1533-position model. The record is from RNAcentral.